RNAcentral lists this unclassified non-coding RNA (464 nucleotides) under Hevea brasiliensis (rubber tree). The record is from RNAcentral. Lineage: Eukaryota; Viridiplantae; Streptophyta; Magnoliopsida; Malpighiales; Euphorbiaceae.
UCGAUGAAGAAAUAUGCUGAUAAUUUGGUAUAUUCUGGAAGGUGUCAGUGCACGACUGACACAACUGGAGAGCAGAACCCGCCACCUUGAGAAUUCUGUGGAUGAUUUGAAACUGUCUGUUGAAAACAAUCAUGGAAGCACAGAUGGGAAAAUAAGGCACCUGGAGAACAUUUUGAGAGAGGUGCAAACAGGGGUGCAUCUUUUAAAGGAGAAGCAGGAAAUAGUUGAGAGUCAGCUGCAACUUACAAAGCUGCAAGUAUCUAAGGGAGGCCAGCAACAAUCAGAAACCCAAAACUCUGGGCACAUGGACACUGUGCAGCAAGCAGCAUCUGCCCCUCCACAAUCUCACCAGCAGCCCUGCCCCUCCACAUACUCACCAACAACUUCCUCCCAUCACUUUUCCACAAUCCAUUCCUUCUGUUCCUGUUUCUGUUCCUCCUCCUGCUGUCCCUCCACCACCUAUU